GACGAACGCUGGCGGCGUGCUUAACACAUGCAAGUCGAACGAAGAGCGAUGGAAGCUUGCUUCUAUCAAUCUUAGUGGCGAACGGGUGAGUAACGCGUAAUCAACCUGCCCUUCAGAGGGGGACAACAGUUGGAAACGACUGCUAAUACCGCAUACGAUCUAACCUCGGCAUCGAGGAUAGAUGAAAGGUGGCCUCUACAUGUAAGCUAUCACUGAAGGAGGGGAUUGCGUCUGAUUAGCUAGUUGGAGGGGUAACGGCCCACCAAGGCGAUGAUCAGUAGCCGGUCUGAGAGGAUGAACGGCCACAUUGGGACUGAGACACGGCCCAGACUCCUACGGGAGGCAGCAGUGGGGAAUCUUCCGCAAUGGACGAAAGUCUGACGGAGCAACGCCGCGUGAGUGAUGACGGCCUUCGGGUUGUAAAGCUCUGUUAAUCGGGACGAAAGGCCUUCUUGCGAAUAGUGAGAAGGAUUGACGGUACCGG
RNAcentral lists this ribosomal RNA (484 nucleotides) under Veillonella parvula. Its description in RNAcentral is "bacterial SSU rRNA". It matches the Rfam family "Bacterial small subunit ribosomal RNA", at positions 28 to 481 of the family's 1533-position model. The record is from RNAcentral. Lineage: Bacteria; Bacillati; Bacillota; Negativicutes; Veillonellales; Veillonellaceae.